This 16558-nucleotide long non-coding RNA is filed under the name Phaseolus vulgaris (common bean). RNAcentral's name for it is "long non-coding RNA (PVUL_LNC001785)". Lineage: Eukaryota; Viridiplantae; Streptophyta; Magnoliopsida; Fabales; Fabaceae. The record is from RNAcentral.
UCUUACAUCCUCAAGCCUUCUCCUCACUCUUCUUCUGGCUGUUUCCAUUCUUGGUUUCAGUUCAGCCAGGAAGCUCAGUGAGUCAGAUUCCCAGUUACAGUUCCAAUACCACAGAGGACCUCUCCUCACAGGCAAAAUCUCCGUCAACCUCAUUUGGUACGGCAACUUCAAACCUUCCCAGAAAGCCAUCGUCACUGACUUCAUCACCUCCCUCUCCUCUCCCAAACCCCUCACACCCCAACCAUCGGUUGCCACGUGGUGGAAAGCCACCCAAAAAUACUACAAAACCUCAUCCCCCAAACUCUCCCUCUCCCUUGGCUCUCAGAUCCUCGAUCAAAACUACUCCUUCGGCAAAUCACUCACCAGCGAUCAAAUCCUCAAGCUCGCAUCCAAGGGUCCUCAGAGAAACGCCAUCAACGUGGUUCUCACGUCUGCUGACGUGGCAGUGGAAGGCUUCUGCUCCAGCAGGUGCGGGACUCACGGCUCCUCCAUGGGGGCGCGCGUGAACGGGAAGAGGUACAAGUUCGCUUACGUGUGGGUGGGUAACUCCGAAAGCCAGUGCCCGGGGCAAUGCGCGUGGCCAUUCCACCAACCCAUUUACGGUCCCCAGAACCCAGCUCUGAUUGCGCCGAACAACGAUGUUGGUGUUGAUGGCAUGGUCAUCAACGUGGCUAGCCUCUUGGCUGGCACUGUCACUAACCCUUUCGGGAACGGAUACUUCCAGGGACCCAAAGAGGCUCCUCUCGAAGCUGCCUCCGCCUGCACCGGUGUCUACGGGAAGGGCGCCUACCCUGGCUAUGCAGGGAACCUCUUGGUGGACCCCACAACCGGUGCCAGCUACAACGCCAAUGGUGUCAACGGAAGGAAGUAUCUUUUGCCAGCUCUCUUUGACCCUAAAACCUCUGCUUGUUCAACCAUAGUCUAAAACCACCACUCAGCUUUCACUUUUCACCCUCUUUAGCUGUUAGGCAACACGAACAUUCUUUCAUUUCUUCAUUCAUUCGGCCAUGAUACAAGAGAAUUAUAGUGUUAACUAGUACGAUGCUUAGUUAUAAUAAACUUUUAUAUUGAGAUGUAUUAGAAACUAUAGCACAAUUAUAUUAAUAAUAUUUUGAUUGCUUUUUAUUUUAAUGAGUGUUUGCAGAAAUUAUAGCUGUCCACUUUACAAACAUGAAUAACUAAAAAGGUAGCCAACAGAAAACCUAAAUAAAUUUUCCCCACGGAAAAUGAGUUAAUAAAAAAAUAUACAUGUUUCAAAAUAAAGUAAGAAAAAAAUUAACCAUUACAAUGGCAACCACAUCAUUUAAAAAGCACACAAUCAAAUAUGAAAGCUUUUUUUUUUUAUCAUAUUGGGCUAGAUUUAAAACCUUAUUAUCAAAAUGAUGGGAUAGAUUUUUAAAACAUUGCGAGUUUGGAGAGAUAGUAUAAAUGUUACAUGACUUUAUUACUUUAUUGUGAGAAAGUAAUCAAUGACAAUUUUUUAUCACAUAAAAAAAAGUUGUGUUAAUGUGAUAAUUUUAGUCUAUGUUAAGUGGUGUUAAGGUGAUAUAAUUUGAAUUAUAUGUAAUUGACACGAUUUUAGUAAUAAGUAUAAAGUUAUCUCAACCUAACAUGAUUUUGGUUAAUAAAUUUUUUUUAAAGUUACACUUUAAGUUUUAUCACUUUAAUAAGACUUGAGUUUUAGUAUUUUUUUUUUUAAAAAAAAGUGUUUAUUUCUUUAUUUUUUUAAAAAUGGAAUUAUUAAUUUAACAAAUUUUAUAAAAUUAAGAAAAAAAAAUAAUUGAAAAAUGGUGUUAAAACCCUAAAUAUAAAAUGUAAAUUAAAAGCUUAAAAUAUAUAAAAAUGCCAAAAAAUAAUAAAAGUUAAACGGUUUAUUUUUUGAAAAUUUUGUAAACCCAAUUCUCCUUCGGAUAUUGGUUGUUGCAUUCCUUAUCUCAUUUUUAACGCGUUUCAAUCUGAACUCUAUCAAAAGUUAAGAUCAUAUGAAGUUUUUUCAUACAAAACUUUAUAAAAAUCAUCAAUUUCUUUCCUAUCCUGAUUUCUUUUACAAAAAUUUCUUAAUUUUAUACAAAUUUUCAAAUUAAUAAUUCAAUUAAUUAUUUCAAUUUUUUAAAAACCAAAAGAAAACAAACAUUUUUUUCAAAAAAUAAAUUCAGUGAAAUUGAAAGUGUAUCCUUAAAACAAAAUUCGUUAAUCAAAAUCGUACCUCCUUACAACAACUCCACUUUGAUAUGGUCAAAAUCAUGUCACCUAACAUGACUUACUGACAAUGAAGUCGUGUCACAUUGACACAACUUCUUCCAACUCAUAAUUUUUAAAACCAACCACAUUUCGAUAGUAAGCAUGUAAAAUUGUCCUAACAUAGUAAAAAAAACAAAUUAUGAAUAGUGAAAUUUUGUCUAAAAUGACUUUAUAAAAAGAUCGUACAACUUUGUUGAGAUUUGUAGUAUAACUUUAAUAAUUUUAAGUUUUUUUUUUCAUUAAAGGUAGAAGUUAUGUUUGUAAACAUCAUCUUAAGGUUUUUUCCUUUCAAAAAUGGAAUUAAAACAUGAUUUUAGAAUGUUUAUUUUUAUUUUAAAUUUAAUUAUAAAAUUCAUGAUUAAUACAUCAUUUCGUUAAUCUUCUUUACGUCACCUUCAGUGAAAACCAACUCCACAUUAGAACAGGAAAUCAACCAGAGAGAGUGUUCCUUGAGUAGUGAUCAACCUGAAAAAUGCACGUGGUUUCGAUUUCAAAAUGAAAACAUACUAUUGUUCUGCAAAUAAACUAAUCAGAAAAAUGAAAAGCAAUCUUGAGAAACUAAACAGAAGAAAGGAAAGAUAGAUGGAGCUUCAACUAAGAGAUGAAGAUUUUCUAGGGCUUGAGAUGCCUCCUCCGAAACUACGAAAGUGUGUAAAAAACAUUAAUGCCUCAUUCGAAACGAAACUGAAAAUAGUGGGAAACAAAAAACUUUCCUGCGACUCAAUAAAAAAUUGUGGAGAGAUAUCAGGAUUUUCCAAACAUCUGGUACUUGCGUGUUUAAUGAAGGUUAUUAUAACCUCUAAUAAAAAACCCCUCUUAAAAUUAAUUUUUUAGUGAUUAUUAACACAAAUUUAGUUUUUGUUUUCUAGGUUUUAGUUGACUUCAUGUUAGUAAGCACAAUUUUAAUAUAUUGUAAUACAUACUAAAUUACAGUAUUUGGAGUUAAUUUUUUGUCAUGUUUAGAACUUAAAAGUACACAAUAUUAUUGAAUAGAUAUAAAAAAGUUAUAUAUGAGAGUUUGUGUUAAUAUUUUUUGUUUUUAUUUUUGUGUGAGUAUUGUUUUUGUUAUAAUUCUUAUUAGGUAAGUCUUUGUUGUGUUGGUGUGGUAAGUGCUAGAAUAUUACGUGGAGGCUUGAAUUUCCUUUUCUAUGCUAUGACCAUGUACGUACUUUUUGUUAUUAUUAUCUUCCAUCAGUGUGGUUCUAUUAGUUUAUAAAUGCCUUUGAAUUGUGUACUUGGUAUUUUGUCAUGGAAGGGAUGCCAAAUAUAUUUGAUCGAGAUGGAAUAAUAUUAUACCUGUAAGGAACUUGUGAAAAUUGAUAUUUUCCAAGCUGGUUGUGACGAUAAUCCAUACAUUCAUAUAAUGGAAAAGGUUGAAAACUAGAGUAAUCCAUCAUAUUGUUUUUGAUGUAGAUGUAUAUUUGAUGAAGAGCCAACAAUUUUCCUCUAUUUUUUUAGUAUUGAGUGCUAAGGAUUUGUUUUUUGUUUUUCUAGGCAUCAUGCUAAAUAACCUUUUCAUGAACUUUAAAGAUCCAAUGAGCUCCUCAAUGUAAGCGCUAGAGGUCCAUAAACGCUAUUUGGGCUAUUUCUUGAGAUCUUCAUGAAGUAAGCACAAUUUUUAGAAUACUCUUCCAAAGGAGUUAAACUUCUUUAUAAUGACUUGGAAUCCGCAAAAAAAAAUGCUUGAAUGUUUUCAUUCUCCUUCAUGUUAAACAACUUAUAUUGGAGAGUCAAAAGAAUAACUUUAUUUCUCUUACUUCGUGUGUAUAACUAGUGUGUUCCACAUCUUUACACAUUUAAGUGCAUGAAUUUUUGCAUAUUCAUCUUUAGAGAUGUCACACAUGAGUAUUAGACACAUAGUUUUCAUUCUGUUAUUACAGUUACAUAUCACUGUUAUAUAUACAUGUAUCCCAUGCAUCCCAUGCAUCCUUCUCAACACAAUAACUUAUAUAUUCAGAUAUACUUUUCUCUUUCUCCUUUCUUUUAACAUGGUAUCCAGAGCUACCUCUUUUCCAUGACCUCUUCCGCUACCUCUCCUUCUACCCCUCCUUUAUCACCUUCUUCCUCUAUUUCUUCUCCUCCUUUGUUGCCAAUGGCGUCUCCUUCCUUACGCCAUUUUUCUAGUCCGAUUACCCUCAAACUUACAACUGAAAAUUUUAUGAUUUGGAAACAACAAAUUUUUGCUACUUUUCGUGGUCUUGAUCUCCUACAUCUCCUUGAUGGUACUCAUAUUCCAUAUGAGUUUCUCCCAUCUAAUGAUCAGGAUCAAGAACCCACCAUCAACCCAUUUUUUCUCCAUUAUCAUAAGCAAGACCAGUUUAUCGUCACCUGGUUGCUGGCCUCCAUGUCCUCCUCCAUCUUAACCAAAAUGGUUGGUUUAGACUCUUCUGCUGCUAUAUGGACACACUUAUCCACAUAUUACGCCUCCCAUACAAGGGCCACCAUCAAGAAACUUUGCCUUCUUCUUCGCACACCCAAGAAUUACAGAACCGUUGCAAACUACCUUUUUGAUAUCAAAAAGACUGUUGAUUCUCUAUCUGCCUUUGGUGCUUCCAUUUCUAACGUCGAACACAUAGAUGUCAUUCUUAAUGGUCUAUCGGAGGAAUAUGAUGAUUUCAUCAUUGCGGUUCUCUCGCGUUCUGAUCCCUACACUGCUGACGAACUGGAGUUUUUACUCCUUGCUCAAGAAGAAAGGUUUGAGAAACAUAAACUCAUUCAAAAUUCCGUCAUUCAAGCCAAUUAGGUUUCCACGCAAUGGUUUUCACCUCGUCCCACCAAGAAACCCAAUUUUCACACCAAAUCUUACUACGGUGGUCACAACCAGAGUCACCCAUCGUAUCCAAACUUUGUGCCUUUCUUUUCUGGACCAAGACCUAUCACUCGUCCUCUUUUCCGCCAUUCUGCACCUUGGAAUUCAAGUAAACCCCAUUGUCAUAUCUGCCACAAACAAGGGCACACUGUUGAUACCUGCUGUCAUAGGUAUGAUCCUCCUAUUGCUUGUUCGAUUACAGCUAACAUUUCUCAAUCUUCCAUCUCAGUCGGUGAUGAUUCUGCUCCAUCUAUUCUGGGUGCUCCAUCGACCAUCAAAGAUCCUCUUGGUACCCCAAUAGUGAUGCUACCAACCAUGUCACUAGCGACCCAUCUGUUUUUCACAACAAAUUAUCAUAGCUCCGAAUCUUUAAAGGUUGGCAACGAUCAAGGUAUGAAUAUUAUACACACUAGCUCUACUUUCUAUAUUGCACCACACACACACAUAAAGUUUCUUCUACAUCAUCUGUUACACGUACCACAUAUCACCAAAAACUUGAUUAGUGUUGCUCAAUUUACAAAAGAAAAUAAUGUUUAUUUUGAAUUUUAUCCUCACUCUUGUUUUGUUAAACAUCAGGACACUCAUCAGAUUCUCAUUCAAGGAAUAGUUAGAUAUUGUCUAUAUGUUUUUCCUUCUUCCCCUGAUUCACUCUCUUACACCGCUAAUCAUGCUUCAUACAAACCGAAUGUUCCUCCCUUACAACUCUAGCAUAACAGGCUUGGGCACAACAGUUUUGCUAUUGUUCAGCGUGUUUUAAAAUCUUGUAAUAUACAAUAUAACUCUCAGACUCAAUUUUGUAAUGCAUGUGUGAUCGAUAAGACACACCAACUUCCUUUUCAUGCUUUUGUUAACAGUUACACUCCACCUUUACAAUUGGUUUUUGGGGACCUUCACCUGUAUGUGCCUCCAAUGGUUCACGCUAUUAUAUCUCUUUCCUUAAAUGAAAGGGGGUCACCAUUUUCAAUAUCAUCUAUGGCCUCCCCUUGUUUUUUUCCGUGUAAAAUGACAUACCAAUGUUCUGACAUAGGAUCUUUGAUGUAGAAAACCUGAGAUGCUUGUUGAACCAUUAUAAAUGGCCCAUCUCGAUACCCUAUCUUUCGAAAGUCCACUAGUGUGAAUCCUGAUUCAGCAAUAAAUGGAACAGAAAACUUACUAUAGCCAACCUCCCAUAUCUCUUCUAUAAACUCAUAGUAUGCCAUUGAUCCAAGUACAAAAUUUGUAUCUUUCGAAGUGGAAAAUUGCAUUGACUCAGUUUCAAGAGUAACACUAGAAUUUUGAACUGUAUUCUUUUCAUCCAUAGACUUCGUGUAAAAUAUACAAUUGUUUACUUUGUACGCAGUACAAGAAAUGACAACAAACUUCAAUCCAACAACCAACAAGGUCAAGGUCUCUGAUGUCGUUGAAUCCUUUAACACCUCGUCUUUAAACCAAGGCAUGAAAGUUCUAUUAUGUUCCAUCAAGACCCAUUUCUCUGCUUGUCUUGGUUUAUAUGCCUUCAUAAUGGCUUUAUGAGCUUCUAUGUAAGGUAUAACUUCAUCUGUGUUAUUGUUGAACAAGCUGCUUUGAUGUCUUCAAAUCCAAGAGGAAAGCUUGAAGCCCUUGCUGCUGGGUGUGUGUGUGUUGUCUAGUUGUUUGAAACUUGUUAAUUCACUCCUUAAGUCGAUCCAAGUUCAUUUGAAUCUUAAACCUUUUGAAAAGAUGUAUCUUCUAAAAGGCUGUCAAAAAUUCAACAGGUUGUUUUACCUUAGCUGUUUUUGAAAAACUUGGUUGACUUUGUUGUCAAACCAAAACAAUCGAUUGUUUCGACAAAACAACCGAUUGUUUUCCUGCAAGCCUUAACAAAAUUCUGUUAAGCGGUUUUAAUAUGUUUUAAAUGAUCCUAACUAACUUGGCUCCUUUAUUAAAUGCUUUUGACCACUUGGUGGGUCUAUAUAAAUGUGGUUUUACGCUCCUAAUCUUGGAGUAACAGAAAGAGUUUAUCAAAACAGUUUUUCCAAGAUUUGAAAGAGCUUUGGAUCAUUCUUAAGUGUGUGGAAUAGGAUUGGGUUGUAAUUCUGAACUUUAAGCUUUGUAAUACCCAGGUGUAUUUUAUUCCUUUCUUCCUUGAUUACUGUAUUUCUGUAGUUGUGUUGCCAAGGAGUGUUGUGUGUUCUUGAGGUGUUCAAGAUCAACAUUCUUGGUAUGGUUUGCCAAAGGUAGUGUGUUUCAUGAGGGGUUCAAGGUCACCACUGUGGUGUGUGGUGUUUGUAAUCUGGUUUUGAUUGCAUAGUGGAAUACCCAGUGGUUUUUGGGGACUGGAUGUAGCUCUUGGUGUAAGAGUGAACCAGUAUAAAUUGCUUGCGUGCUUAUAUCUUACCCUUAACUCUUUAAAUUUUGUUUUUAAGUUGUUUUUAUAAACUGCUCAUAAAAACAACCAUUUGUUUCGACAAAACAACCGAUUGUUUUUCUGAUAUCAUCUUAAAACAGUUUUGGUUCUUUGUUUUCUUGAUUCUUUUCUCUGUAAUUCAGCAUUGAUUUUUCAUUAUACCUUCAAAGUUUGCAAAAAUCCCUCUUAAACAAUUCACCCCCUCUCGUUUAAGGCCAUAUAUUCUAACAAUUCAAUAUAUACAAAUGUGCUUGCAAGACUUUUGAUCGAGAUUUGCUUACAAUAUUCACACCACGUAAACAUUUACUUGUAGAACGCUUGUGGUGCCAUGAAUUAGCUGGAAGACCUAUUGGAUUUUCUUUUGACAUGUACUCUGAACAAAAUUGAAUACUUUCUUCAGCUAUGUAGUUUUCAAUCAUUGAAGCUUCUAGACGAUAAUGAUUUUUCACAUAACCUUUCAAACUUUUCAUAUACUGCUCAACAAGAUGCAUCCAUCUUAAGUACACUGGUCCACACAAUCUAACCUCUCUUACCAUAUGCACAACUAGAUGAACCAUGAUGUCAAAAAAAGAUGGAGGAAAAACCAUCUCCAAUUCACACAACAUAACAACAAUUUCAUCUUCAAGUUCAUCUAGUUUUAAUGGAUCAAUGACUUUACAACAGAUGAAAGAGAAGAAUGAGCACAAAUGGGUUAUGGUAUGUCUAACAUUUUUUAGUAAGAUCCCACGAAUAACUACCGGUAGCAACUGUUGCAUCAAGAUGUGGCAAUCAUGAGACUUCAACCCAAUUAAUGUCAAAUCUUGCAUUGACACUAGGCUCUUCAUAUUUGAGGAAUGUCCUUGUGGAACUUUCACACCUUUUAGACAUUGAAAAAAACUUAUUUUUUCAUAUUUUGACAUGGUGAAACAGGUUGGGGGCAAAUAUGUACACUUACCCAUUUCUAUGGGUGCCCGCUCGCAUCUUAUGUUCAUCUCAAUCAAAUCUAAACGAGCAUUUAGACCAUCCAUCAUCUCAAUCAUAUGUUAAGAAGUGUACCAAUUAAGUUAUCACAUACAUUCUUCUCAACAUGCAUUACAUCUAUACAAUGGCUAACUUCUAACCUCGACCAAUAGGAAAGAUCAAAGAAGAUUGAUUUUUUCUUCCAAAUGUUUGUCACAGAUGACUUUUUUUUCGACUUAUCGAAGGUAUGAUCUAUGUUAUUUACCUUUUCGUACCACAACACCGGUUAAUAGAGUUGGUGGACUUGUUGAACAAGAUGCUUUGAUGUCUCCAAAUCCAAGAGGAAAGCUUGAAGACCUUGCUACUAGGUGUGUGUGUGUGUUGUCUAGUUGUUUGAAACUUGUUAAUUCACUCCUUAAGAUGAUCCAAGUUCAUUUAAAUCUUUAACCUUUUGAAAAGAUAUGUUUUCUGAAAAGCUGUCAAAAAUUCUACAGGUUGUUUUACCUUAGCAGUUUUUGAAAAGGUUUUGAAGAACUUGGUUGACUUUGCUGUCAAACCAAAACAAUCGAUUGUUUCGACAAAACAACUGAUUGUUUUCCUGCAAACCUUAACAGAAUUCUGUUAAGCGGUUUUAAUAUGUUUUAAAUGAUCCUAACUGACUUGGCUCCUUUAUUAAAUGCUUUUGACCACUUGGUUGGUCUGUAUAAAGGUGGUUUUACGCUCCUAAUCUUGGAGUAACAGAAAGAGUUUAUCAAAACAGUUUUUCCAAGAUUUGAAAGAGCUUUGGAUCAUUCUUAAGUGUGUGAAAUAGGAUUGGGUUGUAAUUCUGAACUUUAAGCUUUGUAAUACCCAGGUGUAUUCUAUUCUCUUCUUCCUUGAUUACNNNNNNNNNNNNNNNNNNNNNNNNNNNNNNNNNNNNNNNNNNNNNNNNNNNNNNNNNNNNNNNNNNNNNNNNNNNNNNNNNNNNNNNNNNNNNNNNNNNNGUUGUGUUGCCAAGAAGUGUUGUGUGUUCUUGAGGUGUUCAAGAUCAACAUUCUUGGUGUGGCUUGCCAAAGGUAGUGUGUUUCUUGAGGGGUUCAAGGUCACUACUUUGGUGUGUGGUGUUUGUAAUCUGGUUUUGAUUGCAUAGUGGAAUACCCAGUGGUUUAUGGGGACUGGAUGUAGCUCUUGGUGUAUGAGUGAACCAGUAUAGAUUGUUUGUGUGCUUAUCUCUUACCCUUAACUCUUUAAAUUCUGUUUUUAAGUUGUUUUUAUAAACUGCUGAUAAAAACAUCCGAUUGUUUUCACUAAACAACCGAUUGUUUUUCUGAUAUCAUCUUAAAACAGUUUUGGGUAUUUGUUUCCUUGAUUCUUUUCUCUGCAAUUCAGCAUUGAUUUUCAUUAUACCUUCAAAGUUUGCAAAAAUCCCUUUUAAACAAUUCACCCCCCAUCUCAUUUAAGGCCAUAUAUUCUAACAAUUGGCAUCAAGAGCUUGGUUCUUGAAAGUUAUUCAAGUUUUGAUCCUAAAUCUUUGUUAAAUGGUUGAAAAGUUUUCUUUUGGGGAGGGUGCCUGUUUAAGCAAACCACCUUUGUUCUAUGGUAUGAAAUAUGAAUUGUGGUGCAUAAGAAUGAAAUUCUUUGUUGAAUAUAUAGAGAGAAAAAUCUGGAAUGUUAUUACAAAUAGCUAUCUCAUGCCUAUAUCUGAAAAUGUUUCUUCUGAAAGAGAACAUCUUGAUUGUGUAGUUAUGAACAUCAUUGUAUCUGCACUUGAUUCUAAUGACUUUCUCAAAGUUUCAGAAUGUAGUUCUUCCAAAGAAAUGUGGAAUACCCUUGAAGAGUAUCACAAGAAUCCAAGGAGUGCCUUGAUGGACAAAGAAGAAUCUUCUGCUGAAUCUUUCUCUUCAAAAUCCAAAAAGGAGGUUUGGAUCAAGUCAAGCAAGAAGGAAAAGAAAGCAAAAUAAAAAAGAAGCCAAUCUGUGUUUGAUGGCCAAAGAAGAAGAUGAUGCAAGUAGUGUAAGUUCUUGUACUUCUUUAAAUGCUGAAAAUUAUAGUAAACUUCUUCAAGCCUUUAAUGAAACUCAUAAGGAAGCUAAUAGGUUGGCCCUUUUAAAUAAACGGUUGAAAGGUUUAAACAAAUCAUUGGAAAAUAGAGUCAAGACUUUGGAAGAAGAGUUGAACCAUUCAAAAACAGAUUUUGAAAGUUUGGAAAUGAUUUACAAAAACUCUUCUUGCAAGUGUGAUUCUAGCUUUUGUGAAAAUUGUGAAUCACUUGAAAAGAAAGUCCACUACCUUUUAAAAACCAUGGACAAGUUUUCCAAAGACCAAUCCAAUCUUGAAACUGUUCUUGCUUCUCAUAAAUGUGUUUUUGGCAAGGCUGGGUUGGGGUUUAAUCCAAACAGUAAGAACAAAGCUGUUUCAAAACCCUUUUCAAGUUUCUUUGAAAAACAACCUGUUUUAUCGAAACAACCGAUUGAAAUUUGUCAUUACUGCAUGAAAAGGGGCCACACUAUUAGAUUCUGCAAAGUAAAAAGGUUUUCUGUUCCUAAAGGUAUUUUGAAAUGUGUUCCUAAGGUUUCUAAGGUUCCUACUAACAUCAUUGGACCCAAAUUCAUAAGGGGACCAAAUCUUGCUUCUUAAUCUUUUGUUGUAGGUAUCCUUGGCAGCCAAGAAUCAGUUUUGGACUUGAAGAGUGACUGCUAAAGGGAAAACCAUCAAAAGCAAAGUUUGUCUAUAUGCCUGUACUUUCAAUUGUAUAUGUCUUGCAAGGUUCUUUGAAUGUCAAGAGACAUCCUUGGCACAUGCAUAGUGUUGAUCAAAAGAGAAACCUCAAAGAAAGUAUGUGUGUUUGAUGAAAUCAUUCAUAGUGGUCAAAGUUCUACAAAGGUUUAUGUAGAAGAAGAUGAGCAGAACAUCAUUGGAUGCAAAUGGGUUUUUCAUAAACAAGUUGUAUGAAUCUGGAGUAAUUACAAGGAACAAGGCAAGGCUUGUGGCUAAAGGUUAUAAUCAAGAAGAAGGCAUAGAUUAUGGUACAACCUUUGCUCUAGUUGCAAGAUUAGAGGUUGUAAGGUUGUUGUUGGCCUAUGCUUGUUUGAGUGGAUUCAAAUUGUUUCAAAUGGAUGAUAAAAGUGAUUUCCUUAAUGGAAUCAUCAAUGAGGAAGUCUAUGUUGAAGAACCAUCGGGCUUUGAAGAUCAUCAACAUCCUAACCACGUAUACAAGCUGAAAAAGGCCUUGUAUGGUCUUAAGCAAGCUCCAAGGCAGUGUGAAGAAAGAAUAUUUCUACCAAAUCCACCUCUUGAGUAAUCAUUUGACCAACUUGAAUUGCUGGAUGAAGAAAAGAUAAGGGGAGAAAUUGUGGUCUCCUUGCUAAAAAUUUUGGGGUCUAUGGUACUUUGAUUCUACUGCUAUCAUAGCUCUGAUACACCAUAGAUUUUUGCUGCAAUUUUGAUAUGGUAUCACAGGUUUGUUGCUGCAAUAGUGUUGCUACACAUACUGGUAUUCUGGUUUUUCUUAAUCCUGAUUUUAUCCCUUCUUUCAUUCUAUUUGAGAAGACAAAUAGGGGGAGAAUGGUGUGGUUUUAUGUGUUGUAUUAUUGCAGCUACAUUUGGUGUUAUCUGGUUUUAUCAUGAUUUAAAUUCUGCUAUUGCCAUGCUCUUAUUCACCAUAGUUCUGUUGCACACAAGUCUCAUUUUGGCACUAGUUUUUAUGGUUAUUUGACUAGUUUUUCUGCUUAAAGACUUAUGCAGAAAACUGGUUUUGUGUGCCUUGGUAUCCUGCUAGUAUACUUGCUUUGUAUAUGCACAAAUUCUGUUUUGUAGGACCUUUCAAGUUCAAAAACAACAACACAAACAAACCAGGGAUUUGUCUUCAUCAAAUAGGGGGAGAUUGUUGAACAAGAUGCUUUGAUGUCUCCAAAUCCAAGAGGAAAGCUUGAAGACCUUGUUUUUGGGUGUGUGUGUGUUGUCUAGUUGUUUUGAAACUUGUUAAUUCACUCCUUAAGAUGAUCCAAGUUCAUUUGAAUCUUUAACCUUUUGAAAAGAUGUGUUUUCUAAAAAGCUGUCAAAAAUUCAACAGGUUGUUUUACCUUAGAAGUUUUUGAAAAGGUUUUGAAAAACUUGGUUGACUUUGCUGUCAAACCAAAACAAUCGAUUGUUUCGACAAAACAACCGAUUGUUUUCCUGCAAACCUUAACAAAAUUCUGUUAAGCGGUUUUAAUAUGUUUUAAAUGAUCCUAACUAACUUGACUCCUUUAUUAAAUGCUUUUGACCACUUGGUUGGUCUGUAUAAAGGUGGUUUUACGCUCCUAAUCUUGGAGUAACAGAAAGAGUUUAUCAAAACAGUUUUUCCAAGAUUUGAAAGAGCUUUGGAUCAUUCUUAAGUGUGUGAAAUAGGAUUGGGUUGUAAUUCUGAACUUUAAGCUUUGUAAUACCAAGGUGUAUUCUAUUCCCUUCUUCCUUGAUUACUGUAUUUCUGUAGUUGUGUUGCCAAGGAGUGUUGUGUGUUCUUGAUGUGUUUAAGAUCAACAUUCUUGGUGUGGUUUGCCAAAGGUAGUGUGUUUCUUGAGGGGUUCAAGGUCACUACUUUGGUGUGUGGUGUUUGUAAUCUGGUUUUGAUUGCAUAGUGGAAUACCCAGUGGUUUCUGGGGACUGGAUGUAGCUCUUGGUGUAAGAAUGAACCAGUAUAGAUUGUUUGUGUGCUUAUAUCUUACCAUUAACUCUUUAAAUUCUGUUUUUAAGUUGUUUUUAUAAACUGCUCAUAAAAACAACCGAUUGUUUUUCUGAUAUCAUCUUAAAACAGUUUUGGGUAUUUGUUUCCUUGAUUCUUUUCUCUGCAAUUCAGCAUUGAUUUUCAUGCGCUUCUUCAAAAGACUCAGCUCCCACAUCACGAAUCAUGUCCUUCAAUCGAUCAUCAUCUACAUCAUCAUUUAUUGCAUCAUCCAUGUUAGACCUCACAUAUUCUUCAGUUACGGAAACACGUGGUAAAUUUAAUAAUUCACCAUGCCAUGUCCAAGUUGUAUAAGAUUGAAGAAACCCAUCACACAGAAGGUUCUUCAUGAUUAUCUUAACAUCCAGUAUCCUUCCAUUCAAACAGUUAACACACAGAUACCUAAUCUUUUCUCCAUCAUGACCAGUAUUAUUCGCGUUACGCUGCACAAAUUAUAUAAAUUCUUCUACUCCUCUUUCGUACUCAUCACUCAUGAGAACAAAAUUAAUCCAAUUUCAAUCCAUUAUAUUUUGUAAUAGUCAUUCAGGUGUUUUCUAAUAAGUGUUCUAUCUCACGCGUUUGCCGAGGGUCGAACACCCCCGGACUCUGUACCAUCGCGUAUCAAUUAUCGAGGGUCGAACACCCUCGAACUCAAUACCAACACAAUAAUUCUAUUCUAAACUAACAACUAACAUAAUAUAAAUUAAUAAUAAAUACAAAUUAAAUAAAUACUAAAUAAUAUAAAUUUAAAAAAUACAAAUUAUAAUAAAUAAAAAAUAAACAAAUUCAUAUGAUUAAAAAGAUCAAAAAAAUUUAAAACACCACCAACCUUGUGCGUGAAGGCAACAUUGGUGAAGAGUGGCACGGGACCGACAGCAACAGCGGACACAGCAGCAACAAAGGAGCAAAGUAAAACCCACACAAGAAGCGACAAGGGCAAUGAAACAGUACUUCGAGCAAUGUAAGAAAACAAACCAAGUAAGAGAAACGAAAAAGAUUUAUAAACCAUUGGUGAAGAAGAAAGAGAGCUUGAACAAACUUACAAUGGCACAACAACACAAUGAAGCUCGCAGAAGAAGAGAGGAACACCAGAGCAGGAACAGAGCAAAGCGCAAAGAAGAGAAAGAAAAUAUGAAAAUGUAAGUGGCGCGCUUUAGAGUUAGGGUAAAAAAUGAUUUAAGAAUGCAACUAUUUGUAAUAGUUGCAUUCUUAAAAUCAUGCAUUUUGAUUUAAGAAUUGCAUUAAUUUAAGAAUGCAACUAUUAAAAUAAUUACAUUCGUAAAUGAAGUUAAUUUAAAAAAUGUCACCACGUUUUAAAUAAAUGCAUUUAACCGUAAAAGCACAUUAAAUAAAUAUUCGUUGUUUUUUUAAUUUUCGGUUCCUUCACAUAAAAACUGUACAAAAGAAAUAUGUGAAGUAACGAACAUGCAUUUGAGAAAUUCAUGCCUGCAUGUUGAAAUUGGAAGGAUGGAUCAAUUGCAAAUAUUGUAGACCCCAUUAAUCAACGGUUCUCGAAAGGAAAUAAUGAGAUGUAUCCACAUUGGGUGAGUAUGUGUUCAAGAAUGGGUGAGUAUGUGUUCAAGAAGAUAGGGAUGUCAGACCAACCAUGGCUACUGUUGUACUCAUGCUUAAUAGUUAUUCUCUCACUCUCCCAUUGCCUUCAGAACCUACAUUUGUUGUGGAUAGUAGCACAAGAAGCUUUCCAAACAUGUUGGCAUGGGAGCAUAAUUAAAGGGAAAGUGGAUCGAGUGAAACCACAAACAAAUAAAGUCAAUAUUCAGUAAAUGAGGAGGCUUCAAUUAUUGAGUCAUACUCUAGCUAAUUUGAUAUAACAUGGGUAAUUUGAGACUUAAGUUACAUGUUUCUACGUAUAAUGAAAAAUUAAUUGUGCUUGUCUUGUUUUUUAAGGGCUUCCAAUCAAUGGAACUUUUUAAUUAAAAUUAUUCUUAUAGUAUAUUGAUAUUAACUUUAAGAUCAAUCCAUUUAACACUACAAAAAAACUAAUAUAUUAAGAUAGCAUAAAAUUUAACAUAUCAUUCAUAGUUGUUACCAUUAUAUAAGUUAUCUAAACUAAAAAUAUCAAACUCUUAUACUAAUAUUUUAACAUUAUGUGUAUCAUUAAUCACUCAGUCAAUGACAUAGUCUUUCUUGAAAUUGUUUUAUCACAUACAACUUAUCUCUUACGAAUGGAUAACUAAUACCAAUCAUAAGUUGUGUAUGAAAUUCACGACUUCAAUAUAAAAUAAUAUCAUUAAAGUUAGAUACGAGUGACACAAGUUCAAUUAUAUUAAUUUACACUAAGUCGUGUUUCAAUAAUAUGACUUUAAUUAUCAAUAAUCACUUAGUCAAGCAAAUUUGUGUCUCACUUUUUUUUAUUGUUUUUGAAACAAAAUUAUGUAUGUAUAACAUGAUUAUAAUAUGAUUAUAAUAUGGACCGACAUUAACAUAAAUACUGAAGUAGUGUUGGUACUAAAGGACUUCUUCAUAUGAAAAUAAAAAAAUUGUGAAACAACUUAUCCAUUUUAGUAAAUAAAAAAAGUUAUUCAUUAGAUUAAUAAUAAUAAUAAUAAUUGGUGCAAAACCUCUCUUGUGAGUGAUACUUGAAAGUUUAAUAUAUUUGUAAGGAAGUAAAUUUUCACCUUUAGUUAUUUAAGGACUGCAGUUCGAAUGGUUAGUCUCAAUAAGAAGCAAUUCUAAUCUAUCAUGGAUUUAUUAGAAGUGAUUUUUAUCGUGAUGACACUUCUAUACAGUUCAGACUCGGAUAGAUGAAUUUUUAGAAUACUUAACCAAGAGGCCGAUCCAUUGAUGGUCAUUGUAUUCCGUCCCAACUAUAAUCAGAAAAAAAGUGAUCUUGGCUUUCACAAAUUACAAAAUGAACACGGGUUUCUCCAAUGGUCCCGCUGGACAGCUAUCCAUGCCCUGUCUCCGCGUAACUUUGCGACUAUACAAAAACAUUUUUCAAUUAUUCGCUCCAAACUCCAAAACCUUGCCGCACAAUUUGGUUAACUAUAGCACAAGAGAAACGCGUUAUCAAGCUGCCACUUAGCUCCACUCCACUCACCAUCCCUCAUAAUUCUUCACUUCAUCAAUACGCCUUCUCCCUUCAAUCACCACCCUCACUAUANNNNNNNNNNNNNNNNNNNNNNNNNNNNNNNNNNNNNNNNNNNNNNNNNNNNNNNNNNNNNNNNNNNNNNNNNNNNNNNNNNNNNNNNNNNNNNNNNNNNCAAAUGGCCUCUCUUACAUCCUCAAGCCUUCUCCUCACUCUUCUUCUGGCUGUUUCCAUUCUUGGUUUCAGUUCAGCCAGGAAGCUCAGUGAGUCAGAUUCCCAGUUACAGUUCCAAUACCACAGAGGACCUCUCCUCACAGGCAAAAUCUCCGUCAACCUCAUUUGGUACGGCAACUUCAAACCUUCCCAGAAAGCCAUCGUCACUGACUUCAUCACCUCCCUCUCCUCUCCCAAACCCCUCACACCCCAACCAUCGGUUGCCACGUGGUGGAAAGCCACCCAAAAAUACUACAAAAC